Molecule: ribosomal RNA, 255 nt
Filed under: uncultured bacterium
Lineage: Bacteria
Description: partial 16S ribosomal RNA
Rfam family: Bacterial small subunit ribosomal RNA
Source: RNAcentral
ACCACAUAAUGAGAGUAGCGCACUGGUGAGUAACACGUGGGAACAUACCUUGAAGUGGGGGACAACAGAGGGAAACUUCUGCUAAUACGCAUAAUCCCUGAGGGGGAAAGAUUUAUCGCUUUAAGAUUGGCCCGCGGAAGAUUAGGUAGUUGGUGGGGUAAAGGCCUACCAAGCCGACGAUCUAUAGCUGGUCUGAGAGGACGAACAGCCACAUUGGAACUGAGACACGGUCCAGACUCCUACGGAAGGCAGCAG